RNAcentral lists this ribosomal RNA (405 nucleotides) under uncultured prokaryote. Its description in RNAcentral is "bacterial SSU rRNA". It matches the Rfam family "Bacterial small subunit ribosomal RNA", at positions 355 to 774 of the family's 1533-position model. The record is from RNAcentral.
UGGGGAAUAUUGGGCAAUGGGCGCAAGCCUGACCCAGCAACGCCGCGUGAGGGAAGAAGGUCUUCGGAUUGUAAACCUCUGUCCUUGGGGACGAAAAAAAUGACGGUACCCAAGGAGGAAGCUCCGGCUAACUACGUGCCAGCAGCCGCGGUAAUACGUAGGGAGCGAGCGUUGUCCGGAAUUACUGGGCGUAAAGGGUGCGUAGGCGGUUUGGCAAGUCAGAGGUGAAAUCCCCGGGCGUAACUCGGGUGGUGCAUUUGAAACUGCUGAACUUGAGUGCAGGAGAGGAAAGCGGAAUUCCUAGUGUAGCGGUGAAAUGCGUAGAUAUUAGGAGGAACACCAGUGGCGAAGGCGGCUUUCUGGACUGUAACUGACGCUGAGGCACGAAAGCGUGGGGAGCAAACA